CCUACGGGAGGCAGCAGUGGGGAAUAUUGGGCAAUGGAGGAAACUCUGACCCAGCAACGCCGCGUGAAUGAUGAAGGUCUUCGGAUUGUAAAGUUCUUUUCUCAGGGAAGAAGAACGUGACGGUACCUUAGGAAUAAGCCUCGGCUAACUACGUGCCAGCAGCCGCGGUAAUACGUAGGAGGCGAGCGUUAUACGGAAUGACUGGGCGUAAAGGGGGCGUAGGUGGUUUGGCAAGUUAGUAGCGUAACUCCAAGGCUCAACCUUGGAACUACUACUAAAACUGUUGGACUUGAGUGCAGGAGGGGCAACCGGAAUUCCUAGUGUAGCGGUGGAAUGCGUAGAUAUUAGGAGGAACACCAGUGGCGAAGGCGGGUUGCUAGACUGUAACUGACAUUGAGGCACGAAAGCGUGGGGAGCAAACAGGAUUAGAUACCCUGGUAGUC
This 443-nucleotide ribosomal RNA is filed under the name uncultured bacterium. RNAcentral describes it as "partial 16S ribosomal RNA". It matches the Rfam family "Bacterial small subunit ribosomal RNA", at positions 338 to 795 of the family's 1533-position model. The record is from RNAcentral.